Diceros bicornis minor is the source of this 106-nucleotide small nuclear RNA. NCBI's taxonomy places the organism in Eukaryota, Metazoa, Chordata, Mammalia, Perissodactyla, Rhinocerotidae. The record is from RefSeq and is a predicted model, not a curated record.
GUAUUUACUGUGGCAGCACAGAUACUAAAAUUGGAACAAUACAGUGAAGAUUAGCAUGGCCCAAGUGAAAGGAUGACAUGCAAAUCUGUGUAACAUCCAUAUUUUU